RNAcentral lists this ribosomal RNA (498 nucleotides) under uncultured bacterium. Its description in RNAcentral is "partial 16S ribosomal RNA". It matches the Rfam family "Bacterial small subunit ribosomal RNA", at positions 28 to 508 of the family's 1533-position model. The record is from RNAcentral.
GAUGAACGCUGGCGGCGUGCCUAAUACAUGCAAGUCGAGCGGACAGACGAGGAGCUUGCUCCUCUGACGUUAGCGGCGGACGGGUGAGUAACACGUGGAUUACCUACCUAUAAGACUGGGAUAACUUCGGGAAACCGGAGCUAAUACCGGAUAAUAUAUUGAACCGCAUGGUUCAAUAGUGAAAGACGGUUUUGCUGUCACUUAUAGAUGGAUCCGCGCCGCAUUAGCUAGUUGGUAAGGUAACGGCUUACCAAGGCGACGAUGCGUAGCCGACCUGAGAGGGUGAUCGGCCACACUGGAACUGAGACACGGUCCAGACUCCUACGGGAGGCAGCAGUAGGGAAUCUUCCGCAAUGGGCGAAAGCCUGACGGAGCAGCGCCGCGUGAGUGAUGAAGGUCUUCGGAUCGUAAAACUCUGUUAUUAGGGAAGAACAAAUGUGUAAGUAACUAGGCACGUCUUGACGGUACCUAAUCAGAAAGCCACGGCUAACUACGUGC